GCAAGUCGAACGGCAGCGGGGGGAAAGCUUGCUUUCCUGCCGGCGAGUGGCGAACGGGUGAGUAAUACAUCGGAACGUGCCCUGUAGUGGGGGAUAACUAGUCGAAAGAUUAGCUAAUACCGCAUACGACCUGAGGGUGAAAGUGGGGGACCGCAAGGCCUCAUGCUAUAGGAGCGGCCGAUGUCUGAUUAGCUAGUUGGUGAGGUAAAGGCUCACCAAGGCGACGAUCAGUAGCUGGUCUGAGAGGACGAUCAGCCACACUGGGACUGAGACACGGCCCAGACUCCUACGGGAGGCAGCAGUGGGGAAUUUUGGACAAUGGGCGAAAGCCUGAUCCAGCAAUGCCGCGUGUGUGAAGAAGGCCUUCGGGUUGUAAAGCACUUUUGUCCGGAAAGAAAUGGCUCUGGUUAAUACCUGGAGUCGAUGACGGUACCGGAAGAAUAAGGACCGGCUAACUACGUGCCAGCAGCCGCGGUAAUACGUAGGGUCCAAGCGUUAAUCGGAAUUACUGGGCGUAAAGCGUGCGCAGGCGGUUGUGCAAGACCGAUGUGAAAUCCCCGGGCUUAACCUGGGAAUUGCAUUGGUGACUGCACGGCUAGAGUGUGUCAGAGGGAGGUAGAAUUCCACGUGUAGCAGUGAAAUGCGUAGAGAUGUGGAGGAAUACCGAUGGCGAAGGCAGCCUCCUGGGAUAACACUGACGCUCAUGCACGAAAGCGUGGGGAGCAAACAGGAUUAGAUACCCUGGUAGUCCACGCCCUAAACGAUGUCAACUAGUUGUUGGGGGAUUCAUUUCCUUAGUAACGUAGCUAACGCGUGAAGUUGACCGCCUGGGGGAGUACGGUCGCAAGAUUAAAACUCAAAGGAAUUUG
RNAcentral lists this ribosomal RNA (869 nucleotides) under Ralstonia sp. RNAcentral's name for it is "bacterial SSU rRNA". It matches the Rfam family "Bacterial small subunit ribosomal RNA", at positions 57 to 913 of the family's 1533-position model. The record is from RNAcentral. Lineage: Bacteria; Pseudomonadati; Pseudomonadota; Betaproteobacteria; Burkholderiales; Burkholderiaceae.